AGAGUUUGAUCAUGGCUCAGAACGUACGCUGGCGGCACGCCUAACACAUGCAAGUCGAACGCAGUAGCAAUACUGAGUGGCAGACGGGUGAGUAACAUGUGGGAAUCUGCCUUGUGGUUCAGGACAACAUUGGGAAACCGAUGCUAAUACUGGAUAAGCCCUUACGGGGAAAGUUUUAAUGCCAUAAGAUGAGCCCGCAUUUGAUUAGUUAGUUGGUGAGGUAAUGGCUCACCAAGACAAUGAUCAAUAGCUGAUCUGAGAGGAUGAUCAGCCACACUGGGACUGAGACACGGCCCAGACUCCUACGGGAGGCAGCAGUGGGGAAUCUUGCACAAUGGGCGAAAGCCUGAUGCAGCGAUGCCGCGUGAGUGAAGAAGGCCCUUGGGUUGUAAAGCUCUUUUGUCGGGAAAGAUAAUGACUGUACCCGAAUAAGAAGGUCCGGCUAACUUCGUGCCAGCAGCCGCGGUAAUACGAAGGGACCUAGCGUAGUUCGGAAUUACUGGGCUUAAAGAGUUCGUAGGUGGUUGAAAAAGUUGGUGGUGAAAUCCCAGAGCUUAACUCUGGAACUGCCAUCAAAACUUUUCAGCUAGAGUAUGAUAGAGGAAAGCAGAAUUUCUAGUGUAGAGGUGAAAUUCGUAGAUAUUAGAAAGAAUACCAAUUGCGAAGGCAGCUUUCUGGAUCAUUACUGACACUGAGGAACGAAAGCAUGGGUAGCGAAGAGGAUUAGAUACCCUCGUAGUCCAUGCCGUAAACGAUGUGUGUUAGACGUUGGAAAUUUAUUUUCAGUGUCGCAGGGAAACCGAUAAACACACCGCCUGGGGAGUACGACCGCAAGGUUAAAACUCAAAUGAAUUGACGGGGACCCGCACAAGUAGUGGAGCAUGUGGUUUAAUUCGAAGAUACGCGCAGAACCUUACCAACACUUGACAUGUUCGUCGCGACUCUAAGAGAUUAGAGUUUUCGGUUCGGCCGGACGAAACACAGGUGCUGCAUGGCUGUCGUCAGCUCGUGUCGUGAGAUGUUGGGUUAAGUCCCGCAACGAGCGCAACCCUCACUUUUAGUUGCCAUCAUUAAGUUGGGCACUCUGAAAGAACUGCCAGUGAUAAGCUGGAGGAAGGUGGGGAUGACGUCAAGUCCUCAUGGCCCUUACGGGUUGGGCUACACACGUGCUACAAUGGUAGUGACAAUGAGAUGCAAGGUGGCGACGCUAAGCUAAACUCAAAAAUCUACCUCAGUUCGGAUUGCACUCUGCAACUCGAGUGCAUGAAGCUGGAAUCGCUAGUAAUCGUAGAUCAGCGUGCUACGGUGAAUACGUUCCCGGGUCUUGUACACACCGCCCGUCACACCAUGGAAGUUGGUUCUACCUUAAAGCAGAUUGCUAACCGCAAGGAGGCGUUUGACCAAGGUAUAGUCAGCGACUGGGGUGAAGUCGUAACAAGGUAACCGUA
RNAcentral lists this ribosomal RNA (1448 nucleotides) under uncultured bacterium. Its description in RNAcentral is "16S ribosomal RNA". It matches the Rfam family "Bacterial small subunit ribosomal RNA". The record is from RNAcentral.